GUCACGCGAUCUUUUUUCGCAAUUUCGAGAAAAUGCAUGCCGCACCCGGCGAUGCACUUCAUGAUCGAAUACACGCACGAUAUGCAACGACGUGCCUGGCAGCGUUUGCGAAAUUAUUAUUUUAUGCAGAACACCGGAUUCGCGGAUAUGUACAUAAACGCAGCCGAAAGCUGCGAUUUAUGAAUUAAACAUCGAAUGCUAAUCGAGGAACCGAACGCGAUCCGAUCUAAUCGCGUGCAUCGAUGCAGUUAGCUGUGUUUGCUUUCGAAUAAUCGUUAUUAGCGUACAUAAUUUUCAUUUUUCUUUCCUUUUCCUUUUGCGUCGCAUAGAAUCACGUGAAAAUGUCAUUAUCAUAAGAUACGGCCACGUGCCAGAGAAAUGAGUAAUUAUAAUGGAGAAUCAGCGUUUUAUGCGUCUUCUGCGUUCUACGCGAACGAUAUUCUCUGCGUGCGCGGAAUACAUGAAUGAAAGAACGAAUAAGCGCUACGCAUAUCGCAUGUGAAUCGGUAUGGACAAUGGAAUAGGAUUCCCCAAGUUCAAAAACGCUCAAACACGUGCGUCAUUUCGUCAGCACGUGUAGAAUCUCAAAUCGAGGAAAUAAUCGUGAAGAAACGGAAUUAUCUGGAUAUAGAAUCUGUCUAUCUGCUUGAUCUCUUCGUAGAAGAAUAAAUCUAGAUCUUUAGAACUUCGUGAAACUGAAAUUUAUGGAUCAUAAAUUCAAAAUUCCAAGAUCUGUAAUGCAAAAUUACAAGACAGAUCGUAUACUUGAAUUCUAAAUGUUUAGAAAAUUCCGAAAGAACAAAAACAACAGAUUCAAAUGAUAUAAAAAUGUGGAAAAAAAAACUAAGAGUGCAUUAAACAUAGAUUAAUCAUAAAUUCGGAAGUCUGUUAUAAAAAUCGAAGUUUGAAUCGCUAAGAUAAAGUUUAACGCGUUGAGCAUGUUAAUACUCUUAGAUUGUUAUUCCAAUUCAAGUAUUCAUAUGACGUAUUGUGAAUAAUCACGAUAGAGUAUUACAUAUUCUUCUUAUUAAAAGCAAUCGUUGUGCAACCAAGUGCGGGGAGAUUCAUCAUCAAAAAGCACCGCGGAUUCAUCACUAUGUAUUUUUCUGAGCGGUAGGGCGAUAGGUUGGCGGUAUAUAAAACAGCAGUAAGCACCCAGCAUCUCACCACUGCGGUAGUGUUCACUUGUCACAGCGAUUACAAUUAGAUCAUCUCAGUUUAAAAAAACAUCCAGAGUUCGCAGAUGUGAAAAUGAAGCUAAUCUUCCUGCUGCUGCUGUUGGUUAGUUCCGCUAUUUGCGCACCCUGGCUCGACCUAUGGUUUCCUUCGUACGAUAGUCGAAACAACGGAUACAAUGCAAACGGACCAAACCAGCAAUACCGUCAAAACAGAGGCGGUAAGGAGCGCUGGAAGCAGAUCUGCAGGACGAUUAAUCCUGAUCCUUACGCGUUCGCAGGACGCGCGCCUUAUCCCGCCGCGCCCGUCUGUCCCUGGUAAAGAAAGCUCCCCGGUUUGUCGUGCCAAAUGUAAAGAUAUCAUGCGUUAAAAAUAUGAAUUUAUUGUAACAACGUAGCUGUCGACGAUAUACGUUCACUGAUUAUGAGUAUUUCAGUCAGUGUUUGAUGUAUGAUCAUAUGUGUUCUUUCAUGUACAUGUGUGUAUCAGUGUGUAUGUGUGAGAAUAUUUUAUAGCAACUAAUAUACAUAAAUACUCGCGAUUACACUGCAGCUACUACUGUACGCCAUAUAAAGUACAAAGCGAGGAAAUAAUUGUCUAUGUGUCACAUCGCUCGUACACGAAUCUUGCAUGCCUCAUUUCUCAGUCCAUACUCGCACCCAUGUUAAAUUUAAAAAAAAAAAAAGAAAAAGAAAAACCUAUAAAACUUAGCUGAGAGCAACUUGGCAUCAGAGUAAAGGAAAAUUGUUCGAGGUACAGUUAGUCCGUGAAAAUGAAGUUUAUGAAUCAUUUUCUUGAACACUUUAUGAUUGCAAAAACGUUCUACUGUGCUGCAAAGUUACUUCGUGGUUUGCGUAACUUCUCUUUUUAGAUUUACGGUGCGCUUAUGAACCCGCUAAGCAUCCGCGGAUACUCAGAUAUCUCGAAGGCCUGUCUAUCGAUUUGCGUAUUAGACAGAUGUCUAUUUUACAGAAUCAACAAUUCCAAAACUAUUACAUUUGUCUAAUACAUCGGUAAUACUCUGAAGCUCUCUCUUCUUUUACGUACAAAAAUAAACUAUAUACACUAUUACACGAUAAUGUGAAUUUGGAUUUUCUUAAGAAAAAUGCACGCCUCCAUGACGCAACCAUCGGUAAUCGUUAAAUAUCGCGUAUAUUACAUGCUCUAUGUACAGUCCGGGAUCACAGAAUUAGUACAGCACGGCGUCGUGCGUACGUCGAUGUUUGUGGUUCAAGAAAAAAGCGAGAGCUCCUAACGUCAUUCAAGAAAACUGAACAACAUAAAUAUAACUUGAAUUGAAAUAAUAAUUAUUAAUUGAAA
Linepithema humile (Argentine ant) is the source of this 2496-nucleotide non-coding RNA. NCBI's taxonomy places the organism in Eukaryota, Metazoa, Arthropoda, Insecta, Hymenoptera, Formicidae. The record is from RefSeq and is a predicted model, not a curated record.